RNAcentral lists this long non-coding RNA (254 nucleotides) under Rattus norvegicus (Norway rat). Its description in RNAcentral is "long non-coding RNA NONRATT018234". Lineage: Eukaryota; Metazoa; Chordata; Mammalia; Rodentia; Muridae. The record is from RNAcentral.
GCGUGAUUACAUGGAGACUGUGGACGAGACAAAAGCAGGUGAAGUGAACAAGGAUUUGGUCCUUGCAAAGCAAGAGAAAAAUAGUGAGUAUUGCCUUGAAGACAUUGAGGAGAACUUGUCAGACUCAACGGAUGGUGAUGGCGAAGAGGACAGCUCGGACGAGUGUGAGGACGGGUCCUAGCGGGUGCUGCCAUCACAAGAGUUAUUUUCCAGAGUAUAUGCCAUGCAAAUCCAAAUAUAACGUAGAGAGCUGC